UUUCCGUAGGUGAACCUGCGGAAGGAUCAUUACCGAGUGAGGGCCCCCUGGGUCCAACCUCCCACCCGUGUUUAUCGUACCUUGUUGCUUCGGCGGGCCCGCCUCACGGCCGCCGGGGGGCACCCGCCCCCGGGCCCGCGCCCGCCGAAGACACCAUUGAACGCUGUCUGAAGAUUGCAGUCUGAGCAUCUUAGCUAAAUCAGUUAAAACUUUCAACAACGGAUCUCUUGGUUCCG
Molecule: unclassified non-coding RNA, 236 nt
Filed under: plant metagenome
Description: partial contains small subunit ribosomal RNA, internal transcribed spacer 1, and 5.8S ribosomal RNA
Source: RNAcentral